Molecule: ribosomal RNA, 374 nt
Filed under: uncultured organism
Description: partial 16S ribosomal RNA
Rfam family: Bacterial small subunit ribosomal RNA
Source: RNAcentral
GUAGGGUGGCAAGCGUUGUCCGGAAUUAUUGGGCGUAAAGCGCGCGCAGGCGGUCCUUUAAGUCUGGGUGUGAAAGCCCACGGCUCAACCGUGGAGGGUCAUUGGAAACUGGGGGACUUGAGUACAGAAGGGGAAAGCGGAAUUCCAAGUGUAGCGGUGAAAUGCGUAGAGAUUUGGAGGAACACCAGUGGCGAAGGCGGCUUUCUGGUCUGUAACUGACGCUGAGGCGCGAAAGCGUGGGGAGCAAACAGGAUUAGAUACCCUGGUAGUCCACGCCGUAAACGAUGAGUGCUAAGUGUUAGGGGGUUUCCGCCCCUUAGUGCUGCAGCUAACGCAUUAAGCACUCCGCCUGGGGAGUACGGCCGCAAAGGCUG